This 489-nucleotide ribosomal RNA is filed under the name uncultured bacterium. Its description in RNAcentral is "partial 16S ribosomal RNA". It matches the Rfam family "Bacterial small subunit ribosomal RNA", at positions 28 to 507 of the family's 1533-position model. The record is from RNAcentral.
GACGAACGCUGGCGGCGUGCUUAACACAUGCAAGUCGAACGGUGAAGGGACCAGCUUGCUGGUUCUGGAUGAGUGGCGAACGGGUGAGUAACACGUGAGUAACCUGCCCCCUUCUUCUGGAUAACCGCAUGAAAGUGUGGCUAAUACGGGAUAUUCUGGGUCUGUCGCAUGGCGGGCCCGGGAAAGAUAUUGCUUCGGUGGGGGAUGGGCUCGCGGCCUAUCAGCUUGUUGGUGGGGUGAUGGCCUACCAAGGCGGUGACGGGUAGCCGGCCUGAGGGGGUGGACGGUCACACUGGGACGGAGACACGGCCAAGACUCCUACGGGAGGCAGCAGUGGGGAAUAUUGCACAAUGGGCGCAAGCCUGAUGCAGCGACGCCGCGUGAGGGAUGGAGGCCUUCGGGUUGUAAACCUCUUUCGCCAGUGAAGCAGGCCUGCUCCUUGUGGGUGGGUUGACGGUAGCUGGAUAAGAAGCGCCGGCUAACUACGUG